Molecule: ribosomal RNA, 432 nt
Filed under: uncultured bacterium
Lineage: Bacteria
Description: partial 16S ribosomal RNA
Rfam family: Bacterial small subunit ribosomal RNA
Source: RNAcentral
AACGAACGCUGGCGGCAUGCCUAACACAUGCAAGUCGAACGAGACCUUCGGGUCUAGUGGCGCACGGGUGCGUAACGCGUGGGAACCUGCCCUUAGGUUCGGAAUAACUCCCCGAAAGGGGUGCUAAUACCGGAUAAUUUCUUCGGACCAAAGAUUUAUCGCCUUUGGAUGGGCCCGCGUUGGUUUAGCUAGUUGGUAGGGUAAAAGCCUACCAAGGCGACGAUCCAUAGCUGGUCUGAGAGGAUGAUCAGCCACACUGGGACUGAGACACGGCCCAGACUCCUACGGGAGGCAGCAGUGGGGAAUAUUGGACAAUGGGCGAAAGCCUGAUCCAGCAAUGCCGCGUGAGUGAUGAAGGCCUUAGGGUUGUAAAGCUCUUUUACCCGGGAUGAUAAUGACAGUACCGGGAGAAUAAGCUCCGGCUAACUCCGU